UGUGUGUGUGUGUGUGUGUGUGUGUAUGCACGCACGCACACACACACACACACACACACACA
Molecule: microRNA precursor, 62 nt
Filed under: Olea europaea subsp. europaea
Lineage: Eukaryota; Viridiplantae; Streptophyta; Magnoliopsida; Lamiales; Oleaceae
Source: RNAcentral